RNAcentral lists this ribosomal RNA (254 nucleotides) under uncultured bacterium. RNAcentral's name for it is "partial 16S ribosomal RNA". It matches the Rfam family "Bacterial small subunit ribosomal RNA", at positions 524 to 776 of the family's 1533-position model. The record is from RNAcentral. RNAcentral also lists the same sequence under 1 other name.
GACGUAGGGUCCAAGCGUUGUCCGGAUUUACUGGGCGUAAAGAGCGCGUAGGCGGCUUGUUAAGUGUGAAGUGAAAUCUCCAGGGCUCAACCCGGAAACUGCUUUACAUACUGGCAAGCUGGAGUGAUGCAGAGGUUUGUGGAAUUCCUGGUGUAACGGUGAAAUGUGUUGAUAUCAGGAGGAACACCCAUGGCGAAGGCAGCAAACUGGGCAUCAACUGACGCUGAGGCGCGAAAGCGUGGGUAGCAAACAGG